AUAUCUCAACCCCCUUCCAGCUUUGUAUAGGUUGGUUUCGUGGGGCUUGGAUGUGGAGGCUUUUGCCGGCUCUCUUAGGAGGUGUCAGCUCCUCUGAAAUGCAUUAGCAGAAACUGUUUGCAAUCUGCAAAGGUGUUGAUAAUUGUCUCCACCCAAUGGAUUGCUUACUGUCUUGUUCAGCUUCUAAUCGUCCGCAUUAGUUGGACAGCAUUUUUUGAC
Molecule: unclassified non-coding RNA, 219 nt
Filed under: uncultured Agaricales
Lineage: Eukaryota; Fungi; Basidiomycota; Agaricomycetes; Agaricales
Description: sequence contains ITS2
Source: RNAcentral